Molecule: ribosomal RNA, 112 nt
Filed under: Pteropus vampyrus (large flying fox)
Lineage: Eukaryota; Metazoa; Chordata; Mammalia; Chiroptera; Pteropodidae
Source: RNAcentral
AGCUAUAGCUGUGCUACCCUGACAAGCUCAAUCCCGUCUGAUCUCAUAAGUAAGGUCAGGCUGGUUAGUACUUGGAUGAAAGACUACCUACGAAGACCAGGUGCUGUAGUGU